CGAAGGCAAGCGGAUCUCUUAAAGCUGUUCUCAGUUCGGACUGCAGUCUGCAACUCGACUGCACGAAGCUGGAAUCGCUAGUAAUCGCGGAUCAGCACGCCGCGGUGAAUACGUUCCCGGGCCUUGUACACACCGCCCGUCACACCAUGAGAGUCUGUAACACCCAAAGCCGGUGGGAUAACCUUUAUAGGAGUCAGCCGUCUAAGGUAGGACAGAUGAUUAGGGUGAAGUCGUAACAAGGUACC
This 245-nucleotide ribosomal RNA is filed under the name uncultured bacterium. RNAcentral's name for it is "partial 16S ribosomal RNA". It matches the Rfam family "Bacterial small subunit ribosomal RNA", at positions 1258 to 1500 of the family's 1533-position model. The record is from RNAcentral.